Molecule: long non-coding RNA, 1003 nt
Filed under: Helianthus annuus (common sunflower)
Lineage: Eukaryota; Viridiplantae; Streptophyta; Magnoliopsida; Asterales; Asteraceae
Source: RNAcentral
UUUUAGAGUAAAAAUAAUAUUUACAAACGUUGACGAACCCAAAAUAAUACAAACGCUUACACAACGAACGUAUAAGUUACAACGGCAAUUACUAUUACCACUUAAUCGUUAAAACGUAACUUACGCUUUAUACGGAAAUAUUCAUAAACGCGUAUUUCGUCAACGUAUUAUUUUGGAAGGUAUUAAGUGAAGAGAAAAUAUAAUAUUUUUGAGAAAAAUAUUUGUAUCUUGGAAUGAGAAGUAUUAAGUGAAGAGAAAAUAUAAUAUUUUUGAGAAAAAUAUUUGUAUCUUGGAAUGAGAAGUAAAAAUAUAUUAAGUGGGACUUAAUGAUAUAAUACAAAUACACAUGUAUUAAAUCCCCCAUCCGUGGGAAGGAGAUUAACUACCAAGUACAUGCAAGAUAUAAACACGAAUAGUUGUCUAACUAUUUCCCAAAAUGUAAACUAUAAAGCUAAGGCACGGCCAUCCGUCUAAUAGAAUUAGCACAUGUAGGUCGUUGCACAGCUGCUUGAUUUGGAGUAUACUUGGUAGAGACGCACCGCUGUGAGUUCAUGUCCCCCUUUUCUCUUAACUGUUUUCAGUUUUCUAAACUGCGGGGGUGAAAUACAUGUUACUAUGUUUGCGAAUAUUUCUGAUAUGGUAUGGUUAGCGUAAGGAGGGUUGUUAUUUAGAUCAUGUGAACUGGGUAGGCGGAAACUUGAGGUCAUUAAUCCUCAGGGUAGGACCGAGGGGCAGGAGCGAUAGAUCUAUUUGGGUGUAGCGAGCCCAGUCCCAGGCCCAGCGUAACGGACCUCGGGAUGACUUUGUACCCGGCGCAUAAAUCUGCUAGGUUUGAGCCUUCCUACUUGCAUUUCACACAUAUCAAUGGCCUUGCAAACCAUUGGUGAUCUCUUUUUCCUUAUUUGCUACAUACCAGGAUUUUAUACUUACAAAGGUUUUUACUUACUCACUACACAUGAACUUGCUCAACAAUUUUUGUUGAUUUUUCCAACUUACAUGUAUU